UUGGAGGGCAAGUCUGGUGCCAGCAGCCGCGGUAAUUCCAGCUCCAAUAGCGUAUAUUAAAGUUGUUGCAGUUAAAAAGCUCGUAGUUGAAUUUCGGGGUCUGUCUAUCGGUCGGGCUUCACUGUCCGUACUGGUUUGAUGGAUUCUUACCUUCUGAAUAACCAUCAUGCCAUUAAUUUGGUGCGUUGGGGAAGCAGAGCUAUUACCUUGAAAAAAUUAGAGUGCUUAAAGCAGGCUAGCGCUUGAAUAGAUUAGCAUGGAAUAAUGAAAUAGGACGGCAUGGUUCUAUUUUGUUGGUUUCUAGGAUCACCGUAAUGAUUAAUAGGGAUAGUUGGGGGCAUUAGUAUUCAAUUGUCAGAGGUGAGAUUCUUGGAUUUAUUGAAGACUAACUACUGCGAAAGCAUUUGCCAAGGAAGUUUUCAUUAAUCAAGAACGAAAGUUAGGGGAUCGAAGACGAUCAGAUACCGUCGUAGUCUUAACCAUAAACUAUGCCGACUAGGGAUCGGACCGAAGUUUUUUUUGGUUUGUUUUUUU
This 534-nucleotide ribosomal RNA is filed under the name uncultured Acaulospora. RNAcentral's name for it is "partial 18S ribosomal RNA". It matches the Rfam family "Eukaryotic small subunit ribosomal RNA", at positions 548 to 1089 of the family's 1831-position model. The record is from RNAcentral. Lineage: Eukaryota; Fungi; Glomeromycota; Glomeromycetes; Diversisporales; Acaulosporaceae.